AUGCUACUGCACGAGGUGCACCUGGAUGAGCUCACCGAGGAUGACAUCCUAUGGAAGCACACGGAAUCUGGGCACUACUCCGCGGCCUCCGCUUACAGGGCACAAUUUUUGGGCUUGGUCCUCUCCCCCAUGGACCAAAUGGUCUGGAAGGCUUGGGCCCCACCAAAAGUCAAGUUCUUUGCUUGGCUCGCGCUUCAGGAUAGGAUCUGGAUUGCGGACAGAUUGGAGAAGCGAGGAUGGCCUAACUGUGGCCCCUGCCCCUUGUGCCGACGGGUGCAGGAAUGUGGCCCUCAUCUUUUCUUCAGAUAACGUUUCACUCUCAGGCUUUGGAACAUGGCUAUUCAGAAAUUUCGCAUCCACGACAUGGACACGUCCACAUGGCACCUGUUUGACUCCGUUCAUGCCUGGUGGGCGAGCACAUGCACCACGGGCACCACCGACAGAAAAGCAAAGGCAUCGAUUACCAUGCUAGUGUCAUGGGUCAUCUGGAAUGAGCGCAACGCAAGAGUGUUCAGGCAAAAGAGCACACCUCCGCAAAUCUUGCUCAGCAUCAUUGAAGACGAGGCAAACCUUUGGAUCAAAGUUGGGGCAAAGAAACUAGGGUCUUUUUUAUUGCGAGAAUAA
RNAcentral lists this ribosomal RNA (624 nucleotides) under Triticum aestivum (bread wheat). RNAcentral describes it as "partial small subunit ribosomal RNA". Lineage: Eukaryota; Viridiplantae; Streptophyta; Magnoliopsida; Poales; Poaceae. The record is from RNAcentral.